Molecule: ribosomal RNA, 497 nt
Filed under: uncultured bacterium
Lineage: Bacteria
Description: partial 16S ribosomal RNA
Rfam family: Bacterial small subunit ribosomal RNA
Source: RNAcentral
GAUGAACGCUGGCGGCGUGCCUAAUACAUGCCAGUCGAGCGAACAGAUGAGGAGCUUGCUCCUCUGACGUUAGCGGCGGACGGGUGAGUAACACGUGGAUAACCUACCUAUAAGACUGGGAUAACUUCGGGAAACCGGAGCUAAUACCGGAUAAUAUAUUGAACCGCAUGGUUCAAUAGUGAAAGACGGUUUUGCUGUCACUUAUAGAUGGAUCCGCGCCGCAUUAGCUAGUUGAUAAGGUAACGGCUUACCAAGGCAACGAUGCGUAGCCGACCUGAGAGGGUGAUCGGCCACACUGGAACUGAGACACGGUCCAGACUCCUACGGGAGGCAGCAGUAGGGAAUCUUCCGCAAUGGGCGAAAGCCUGACGGAGCAACGCCGCGUGAGUGAUGAAGGUCUUCGGAUCGUAAAACUCUGUUAUUAGGGAAGAACAAAUGUGUAAGUAACUAUGCACGUCUUGACGGUACCUAAUCAGAAAGCCACGGCUAACUACGUG